This 458-nucleotide ribosomal RNA is filed under the name uncultured bacterium. RNAcentral describes it as "bacterial SSU rRNA". It matches the Rfam family "Bacterial small subunit ribosomal RNA", at positions 28 to 368 of the family's 1533-position model. The record is from RNAcentral.
GAUGAACGCUGGCGGCGUGCUUAACACAUGCAAGUCGAGCGGGCAAUUUAUCUAGCACUGAUUACUUCAAAUGGAAAUCAUAAGUGUAAUCAUGAAUUUCUACCUUUAAUAAAGAAAAAAGAAAUUCAUGUACGCAAAUAGUGAUAACACAUUUUAGUGGAGUGAUGAGUGCUGGAUAAAUUGCUAGCGGCGGACGGGUGCGUAACACGUGGGUAACCUGCCCCUAUCACUGGGAUAACACACUGAAAAGUGUGCUAAUACCAGAUAAUAUAAGCUUUUGGCAUCAUUAGCUUAUCAAAGAAUUUCGGAUAGGGAUGGGCCCGCGUCUGAUUAGCUAGUUGGUGAGGUAACGGCUCACCAAGGCAACGAUCAGUAGCCGACCUGAGAGGGUGAUCGGCCACACUGGAACUGAGACACGGUCCAGACUCCUACGGGAGGCAGCAGUGGGGAAUAUUGCA